Molecule: ribosomal RNA, 440 nt
Filed under: uncultured bacterium
Lineage: Bacteria
Description: bacterial SSU rRNA
Rfam family: Bacterial small subunit ribosomal RNA
Source: RNAcentral
CCUACGGGAGGCUGCAGUAGGGAAUCUUCCGCAAUGGACGAAAGUCUGACGGAGCAACGCCGCGUGAGUGAUGAAGGUUUUCGGAUCGUAAAGCUCUGUUGCCAGGGAAGAACGCUUGCGAGAGUAACUGCUCGCAAGGUGACGGUACCUGAGAAGAAAGCCCCGGCUAACUACGUGCCAGCAGCCGCGGUAAUACGUAGGGGGCAAGCGUUGUCCGGAAUUAUUGGGCGUAAAGCGCGCGCAGGCGGCCUUGUAAGUCUGUCGUUUAAACUCGGAGCUCAACUUCGAGUCGCGAUGGAAACUGCAAAGCUUGAGUGCAGAAGAGGAAAGUGGAAUUCCACGUGUAGCGGUGAAAUGCGUAGAGAUGUGGAGGAACACCAGUGGCGAAGGCGACUUUCUGGGCUGUAACUGACGCUGAGGCGCGAAAGCGUGGGGAGCAA